Molecule: ribosomal RNA, 429 nt
Filed under: Actinomycetes bacterium
Lineage: Bacteria; Bacillati; Actinomycetota; Actinomycetes
Description: Actinobacteria bacterium partial 16S ribosomal RNA
Rfam family: Bacterial small subunit ribosomal RNA
Source: RNAcentral
UAGGGAAUCUUCCGCAAUGGGCGAAAGCCUGACGGAGCAACGCCGCGUGAGUGAUGAAGGUCUUCGGAUCGUAAAACUCUGUUAUUAGGGAAGAACAAAUGUGUAAGUAACUAUGCACGUCUUGACGGUACCUAAUCAGAAAGCCACGGCUAACUACGUGCCAGCAGCCGCGGUAAUACGUAGGUGGCAAGCGUUAUCCGGAAUUAUUGGGCGUAAAGCGCGCGUAGGCGGUUUUUUAAGUCUGAUGUGAAAGCCCACGGCUAAACCGUAGAGGGUCAUUGGAAACUGGAAAACUUGAGUGCAGAAGAGGAAAGUGGAAUUCCAUGUGUAGCGGUGAAAUGCGCAGAGAUAUGGAGGAACACCAGUGGCGAAGGCGACUUUCUGGUCUGUAACUGACGCUGAUGUGCGAAAGCGUGGGGAUCAAACAGG